RNAcentral lists this small RNA (753 nucleotides) under Pan troglodytes (chimpanzee). RNAcentral describes it as "retained intron". The record is from RNAcentral. Lineage: Eukaryota; Metazoa; Chordata; Mammalia; Primates; Hominidae.
AAUUAAUAUAUUUCAAAUGACACUGAAGACAUUUUAGCUCCUUCUAUGCAAAUCAUCGAAGACUUAUUUUUUCUUUUCAUGUUGAUGCAUCAUACAGUGACCAUGAGCUAAUUAACAUUCAUUUGGAUCUUUGAUUAUCUCUUUAAAGCUCCAAGCCAACCACCAGCAAACAUUGCCUGGAAGCUGACAAACUCUAAAUUAUGCUUGAACUGGGAGCAUGUAAAAACCAUGGAAAAUGAGUCUGAAGUUUUGGGGUACAAGAUUCUGUACCGGCAAAACAGACAGAGUAAAACUCAUAUUUUGGAAACAAACAAUACAUCAGCUGAGCUUCUGGUUCCAUUUGAAGAAGACUACUUAAUUGAAAUAAGAACAGUCAGUGAUGGUGGAGAUGGAAGCAGCAGUGAGGAAAUUAGGAUUCCAAAAAUGUCAAGUAAGUUGAGUCACCAUUGCUGUAGUAGAUUCUGAACCUAGACAGCUGCAGCAUGAAAUUCAGCUCCAUGAAACCUUCCAGUUAUGGCUUAAAUGUUGGGUGAUAACAUAAAUUUUCAAUUGUGAGCAAAAGGUGAUGAGCCUUUUUUUAAAGUUAUUCUCCAAAAUUAUAACAUACUUAUACACUAUAAAUGGUUUUAUGCUUCCUCAUUUGAAAACCAAAAAGAGAACAGGAAAAAAAAAAUCUUUGCGUCAUUAGAGCAUAAUUGUAUCACUCAUUCUAUUAUCACAAAAAUCAGAAAGAUUUUUCAUAGAUUCUUUCGG